This 254-nucleotide ribosomal RNA is filed under the name uncultured bacterium. RNAcentral's name for it is "partial 16S ribosomal RNA". It matches the Rfam family "Bacterial small subunit ribosomal RNA", at positions 524 to 776 of the family's 1533-position model. The record is from RNAcentral.
UACGAAGGUGGCUAGCGUUGCUCGGAAUCACUGGGCGUAAAGCGCACGUAGGCGGACUCUUAAGUCGGGGGUGAAAUCCUGGAGCUCAACUCCAGAACUGCCUUCGAUACUGAGAGUCUUCGAGUUCGGGAGAGGUGAGUGGAACUGCGAGUGUAGAGGUGAAAUUCGUAGAUAUUCGCAAGAACACCAGUGGCGAAGGCGGCUCACUGGCCCGGUACUGACGCUGAGGCACGAAAGCGUGGGGAGCAAACAGG